RNAcentral lists this unclassified non-coding RNA (250 nucleotides) under plant metagenome. RNAcentral's name for it is "partial contains small subunit ribosomal RNA, internal transcribed spacer 1, and 5.8S ribosomal RNA". The record is from RNAcentral.
GUAGGUGAACCUGCGGAAGGAUCAUUACAGAGUUCAUGCCCUUACGGGUAGAUCUCCCACCCUUGAAUACUAUACCUCUGUUGCUUUGGCGGGCCGCCUCGGCUACCGGCUUCGGCUGGUGAGUGCCCGCCAGAGGACCCUAAACUCUGAAUGUUAUUGUCGUCUGAGUACUAUAUAAUAGUUAAAACUUUCAACAACGGAUCUCUUGGUUCUGGCAUCGAUGAAGAACGCAGCAUCUGACUGACUGAUC